Capsicum annuum is the source of this 797-nucleotide long non-coding RNA. RefSeq lists it as uncharacterized. NCBI's taxonomy places the organism in Eukaryota, Viridiplantae, Streptophyta, Magnoliopsida, Solanales, Solanaceae. The record is from RefSeq and is a predicted model, not a curated record. The transcript is spliced from 3 exons.
GGCUAUCAUGUACUUUUUGGGGAGAGUUUGUUGAACAAAUUGUUCCUCAACUUCUAACUUCUGAUAACCAACCUGUUGUUGUUGCUCUUCAACUCAUACAGGCACAUAAAUUUCAAGAUUCCUAUACCGUGUGCAACACUUGGAAUGCCUCUAAGUUGUGGAUUAAUCCAACUGAUGUUGAAUUUGAAGAGUUUAAAAAACUGCUACUUACUGUUCAUCAUAGUAACUUUGACAGAAUAACUCAUACCAUCUCACAGCAAAAUAACUCUGUGUUGGAUGAAUUAUCAAAUGGCACUUUACAAGUCAAGACAAUUUCUAAGUUGUUGAAAAUUGGGUUAUCGAGGCAAAAGUCUUAUCAGGACAUAUGAUUAGACAAAAGGUUUCCAUACCUAGAAUGUUAUUGGCUCCAUCUGAUUUAAGAAUACCCUUUAAGUUUCAAAGAAGAUAGUUUCCAAUAGUUGUAUCAUUUGCCAUGUCUAUCAAUAAGAGCCAAGGACAAUCUUUAUCUCAUUUUGGGCUAUAUUUGAAGAAAGCAGUAUUCACACAUGGCCAGUUAUAUGUUGCACUAUCAUGGGUGACACGAAGACAAGGAUUAAAGAUUUUGACAUAUGAUGAUGAAGGAGAAGUUUCAAAGGAAGCAACUAAUGUAGCGUUCAAAGAAGUUUACCGUAAUUUGAGUGUAGAUUAAAGCUAAUCUGAUCCAAAGGGUAUAACAGGGUCAACAAUAUCAUCAAUUUGUUGAGGGUUAGACUUAGCUUUUUUUAUCAUUCAUAUAGAUAAUAAAAGUUAUUUUUUUC